This 274-nucleotide ribosomal RNA is filed under the name uncultured bacterium. RNAcentral's name for it is "partial 16S ribosomal RNA". It matches the Rfam family "Bacterial small subunit ribosomal RNA", at positions 523 to 796 of the family's 1533-position model. The record is from RNAcentral.
AUACGGAGGGUGCAAGCGUUACUCGGAAUCACUGGGCGUAAAGCGCGCGCAGGCGGGCUGAUAAGUUGGAUGUGAAAGCCUACGGCUCAACCGUAGAACUGCAUCCAAAACUGUCAGUCUAGAGUGUGGGAGAGGAAGAUGGAAUUAGUUGUGUAGGGGUAAAAUCCGUAGAGAUAACUAGGAAUACCAAAAGCGAAGGCAAUCUCCUGGAACACUACUGACGCUGAGGCGCGAAGGCGUGGGGAGCAAACAGGAUUAGAAACCCCAGUAGUCC